This 868-nucleotide ribosomal RNA is filed under the name uncultured soil bacterium. Its description in RNAcentral is "bacterial SSU rRNA". It matches the Rfam family "Bacterial small subunit ribosomal RNA", at positions 26 to 889 of the family's 1533-position model. The record is from RNAcentral.
AGGAUGAACGCUAGCGACAGGCCUAACACAUGCAAGUCGAGGGGCAGCAUAAAGGUAGCAAUACUUUGGUGGCGACCGGCGCACGGGUGAGUAACACGUAUGCAACCUACCUGUAAGAGGGGAAUAACCCGGAGAAAUUCGGACUAAUACCGCAUAAUACCGUUUACCUGCAUGGGUGAAUGGUUAAACAUUUAUGGCUUACAGAUGGGCAUGCGUAUGAUUAGCUAGUUGGUGAGGUAACGGCUCACCAAGGCAACGAUCAUUAGGGGUUCUGAGAGGAAGGUCCCCCACACUGGUACUGAGACACGGACCAGACUCCUACGGGAGGCAGCAGUGAGGAAUAUUGGUCAAUGGGCGAGAGCCUGAACCAGCCAAGUCGCGUGAAGGAAGAAGGUUCUAUGGACUGUAAACUUCUUUUGUAAGGGAAUAAAAAAGGCCACGUGUGGCCUCUUGUAUGUACUUUACGAAUAAGGAUCGGCUAACUCCGUGCCAGCAGCCGCGGUAAUACGGAGGAUCCGAGCGUUAUCCGGAUUUAUUGGGUUUAAAGGGUGCGUAGGCGGACCCUUAAGUCAGUGGUGAAAGUUUGCAGCUCAACUGUAAAAUUGCCAUUGAAACUGAGGGUCUUGAGUGUAAAUAAGGUAGGCGGAAUGUGUUGUGUAGCGGUGAAAUGCUUAGAUAUAACACAGAACACCAAUUGCGAAGGCAGCUUACUGGGAUACAACUGACGCUGAGGCACGAAAGCGUGGGGGUCAAACAGGAUUAGAUACCCUGGUAGUCCACGCAGUAAACGAUGAAUACUAACUGUAUGCGAUAUACUGUAUGUGGUAAAGCGAAAGCGUUAAGUAUUCCACCUGGGGAGUACGUUCGC